Molecule: non-coding RNA, 310 nt
Organism: Camellia sinensis
Lineage: Eukaryota; Viridiplantae; Streptophyta; Magnoliopsida; Ericales; Theaceae
Source: RefSeq, a predicted model, not a curated record
AACAAAAACAAAACAAAAAAACAAAAAAUGUGGGGAUUAAAUUGCAAAAACCAAAGUUUUGGCACGAGUAACAGUUCAUCACUACUUCUUUUCUUCUUCGACGAUCCCAUACGGCUGCACACACCACAUCCGCUUUCACUUCCUCUCUUUUGUGUUUGUGAACGAUCACUAUAACGAAGAUGAGGAAGCUCAAUCGUCCCACCGGUCACCGAAUGUCUAUGCUCAGAACAAUGGUUUCGCAGUUGGUGAAACACGAAAGGAUUGAAACUACUGUUGCUAAGGUUAUUCCUUCAAUUUCCUAAAAAAAAAA